This 882-nucleotide ribosomal RNA is filed under the name uncultured Bacteroidota bacterium. RNAcentral describes it as "bacterial SSU rRNA". It matches the Rfam family "Bacterial small subunit ribosomal RNA", at positions 36 to 916 of the family's 1533-position model. Lineage: Bacteria; Pseudomonadati; Bacteroidota. The record is from RNAcentral.
CGGGAUUAUGGGCAGCUUAUAAUGCAAGUCGACGGUAAGUGUUGUAGCAAUAUAACACCAAGAGUGACGUACGGGUGCGUAACACGUAUGCAACCUACCCUUUACAGGAGGAUAGCUCGGGGAAACCCGAAUUAACCCUCCAUAACAUCAUGAUGUGGCAUCACAAUAUGAUUAAAACUCCGGUGGUAAAGGAUGGGCAUGCGUCUGAUUAGUUAGUUGGCGGGGUAACGGCCCACCAAGCCGAUGAUCAGUAGGGGACCUGAGAGGGUGAUCCCCCACACUGGCACUGAGAUACGGGCCAGACUCCUACGGGAGGCAGCAGUAGGGAAUAUUGGUCAAUGGGUGCAAGCCUGAACCAGCCAUGCCGCGUGCAGGAAGAAGGCCUUCUGGGUUGUAAACUGCUUUUACCAGGGGAUAAAAAUCUCAUGCGUGAGAAAUUGAAGGUACCUGGUGAAUAAGCCACGGCUAACUACGUGCCAGCAGCCGCGGUAAUACGUAGGUGGCAAGCGUUGUCCGGAUUUAUUGGGUUUAAAGGGUGCGUAGGCGGCCCUGUAAGUCAGUGGUGAAAUACUCUAGCUUAACUAGAGGGGUGCCAUUGAUACUGCAGGGCUUGAGUACAGACGAGGUAGGCGGAAUUGACGGUGUAGCGGUGAAAUGCAUAGAUAUCGUCAAGAACUCCGAUAGUGAAGACAGCUUACUAGGCUGUAACUGACGCUGAGGCACGAAAGUGUGGGGAUCAAACAGGAUUAGAUACCCUGGUAGUCCACACUGUAAACGUUGAUGACUCGAUGUUGGCGAUACACAGCCAGCGUCCAAGAGCAAUCGUUAAGUCAUCCACCUGGGGAGUACGCCGGCAACGGUGAAACUCAAAGGAAUUGACGG